AAGACAUAGCAUGUGCCCCUAAUUGUACACUCGCCACCCUUUCCAGGCCCAGUGGAGAGGACUGGAGGCAGGGAGGCAGUCCCUGCCUGCGACAAACCGACAGAGAUAAUGGGUCUUGUGCUGUCCUUGGGCACAGGACUGGGGCUUUGGGUGACAGAGCCUGAGUCAAGGCCAAGGGGCUCCCAGGCACUCUCUCCCUCUAGCCCAUCCCCUCCCCACCACAGUGGGGCUGCAUGGCCUCACCUUCUCUGCCUCCUCACGGCUCAUGGCUAGGGCCAGCUGCAGCUGCAGUUCCUCUUCCCCUGACGUCUGAGGCCGGGCCUGCUCCAGGUCGGAGGUAUAGCGGGGUGACGAAGAGGAGGCUGCAAUGACCAUCAUGUCUCUGUGACCACACGAUUACCCAUCGGCUCCCACACCCCUCUGCCUGCCAGGAAGCUGAGGCUCAAAGAAGAGAACUGAGAGGAGGGGAACAACGGCCGUUGAGGCCCCCGUGGGCCAAGCAGUGUGCCAGGCACUCUAUCAAACAAUGGAGGUAGGUGAGCUUAUCCCCACUGUACAGAUGAGGAAACUGAGGUUCAGAGAACUGGUUGCCCAGGUCACACAGCUUGGAGGAAGCAGAAUAUAGAAUGCUAUCUGACUCCAAACCCAUGCUUCCACUAUCGCGCCAUCCUAUCAGGCAGCUAACGAAUGAUAAUGAAUCUAUAACAACAUUAUUAUCUGA
RNAcentral lists this small RNA (721 nucleotides) under Pan troglodytes (chimpanzee). Its description in RNAcentral is "retained intron". The record is from RNAcentral. Lineage: Eukaryota; Metazoa; Chordata; Mammalia; Primates; Hominidae.